RNAcentral lists this long non-coding RNA (206 nucleotides) under Mytilus galloprovincialis (Mediterranean mussel). The record is from RNAcentral. Lineage: Eukaryota; Metazoa; Mollusca; Bivalvia; Mytilida; Mytilidae.
GUUGUCUCCGAAAAUAAUGGGGUGUGUUUCAAUUUGAAAUGAUUAAUUAUAAAAAAGAAGAUGUGGUAUGAUUGCCGAUGAGACAAUUCUUCACAAGAGACCAAAAUGACACAGAAAUUAACAACUAUAGGUCAUUGUACAUGCUGUACGACCUGUUUCUUCACUGUGUUUGCGUUUUUCUUUAAGCAUGUUACUCGUACUUUCAC